RNAcentral lists this transfer RNA (72 nucleotides) under Camelus bactrianus (Bactrian camel). It matches the Rfam family "tRNA". From Rfam's summary of the family: Transfer RNA (tRNA) molecules are approximately 80 nucleotides in length. Their secondary structure includes four short double-helical elements and three loops (D, anti-codon, and T loops). RNAcentral also lists the same sequence under 1 other name. Lineage: Eukaryota; Metazoa; Chordata; Mammalia; Artiodactyla; Camelidae. The record is from Rfam by way of RNAcentral.
GAAGGUGUAGCUCCAUGGUAGAGUGAAUGCCUAGCAUACCUGAGGUCCUGGGUUCAAUCCCCAGUACCUCCA